This 253-nucleotide ribosomal RNA is filed under the name uncultured bacterium. Its description in RNAcentral is "partial 16S ribosomal RNA". It matches the Rfam family "Bacterial small subunit ribosomal RNA", at positions 524 to 776 of the family's 1533-position model. The record is from RNAcentral.
UACGUAUGGUGCAAGCGUUAUCCGGAUUUACUGGGUGUAAAGGGAGCGUAGACGGAUAGGCAAGUCUGGAGUGAAAACCCGGGGCUCAACCCCGGGACUGCUUUGGAAACUGUUUAUCUAGAGUGCUGGAGAGGUAAGUGGAAUUCCUAGUGUAGCGGUGAAAUGCGUAGAUAUUAGGAGGAACACCAGUGGCGAAGGCGGCUUACUGGACAGUAACUGACGCUGAGGCGCGAAAGCGUGGGGAGCAAACAGG